ACACCAGACUCCUACGGGAGGCAGCAGUGAGGAAUAUUGGUCAAUGGCCGGAAGGCUGAACUAGCCAAGUCGCGUGAGGGACGACUGCCCUAUGGGUUGUAAACCUCUUUUAUAAGGGAAGAAUAAAUGCUACGUGUAGCAUGAUGCCUGUACCUUAUGAAUAAGCAUCGGCUAACUCCGUGCCAGCAGCCGCGGUAAUACGGAGGAUGCGAGCGUUAUCCGGAUUUAUUGGGUUUAAAGGGUGCGUAGGCGGACGCUUAAGUCAGCGGUAAAAUUGCGGGGCUCAACCUCGUCGAGCCGUUGAAACUGGGUGCCUUGAGUGGGCGAGAAGUACGCGGAAUGCGUGGUGUAGCGGUGAAAUGCAUAGAUAUCACGCAGAACUCCGAUUGCGAAGGCAGCAUACCGGCGCUCAACUGACGCUCAUGCACGAAAGUGUGGGUAUCGAACAGGAUUAGAUACCCCUGUAA
This 467-nucleotide ribosomal RNA is filed under the name uncultured bacterium. Its description in RNAcentral is "bacterial SSU rRNA". It matches the Rfam family "Bacterial small subunit ribosomal RNA", at positions 328 to 793 of the family's 1533-position model. The record is from RNAcentral.